CCCACCUCCUUUUACUAAUGCUCCACCAAGAACACCUUUAAAUAAAGCUCCACCUGCACCUCCGCCGCCUUCUUACACUAGUGCUCCAACGGCACCACCCCCACCUCCUCCACCCCCUUUUAGUACAAGUCAGUCUCCAUCGCCUCUUUUUAGUAGAGCUCCACCACCACCACCACCCCUUCCUUCAUCAAGUGGAAGACCACCUCCACCUCCACCUCCUCCAAUGUCUAGAGCCCCUCCACCUCCACCCUUUCCUGGAGCACCUCCACCACCUCCACCACCACCUCCUGGUGGUGGUCGAGGCCCACCCGCUCCCCCUCCUCCUGGCGGUCGAGGCCCACCUCNNNNNNNNNNUCCCCCCCCCCCCCCCCCACCUCCUUUUCCAUAUCCUCCGCCACCCCCACCCCCACCUCCUUUUACUAAUGCUCCACCACCCCCACCCCCACCUCCUUUUACUAAUGCUCCACCAAGAACACCUUUAAAUAAAGCUCCACCUGCACCUCCGCCGCCUUCUUACACUAGUGCUCCAACGGCACCACCCCCACCUCCUCCACCCCCUUUUAGUACAAGUCAGUCUCCAUCGCCUCUUUUUAGUAGAGCUCCACCACCACCACCACCCCUUCCUUCAUCAAGUGGAAGACCAC
RNAcentral lists this long non-coding RNA (644 nucleotides) under Cicer arietinum (chickpea). Its description in RNAcentral is "long non-coding RNA (CARI_LNC002222)". The record is from RNAcentral. Lineage: Eukaryota; Viridiplantae; Streptophyta; Magnoliopsida; Fabales; Fabaceae.